Molecule: transfer RNA, 75 nt
Filed under: Candidatus Cloacimonadota bacterium
Lineage: Bacteria; Pseudomonadati; Candidatus Cloacimonadota
Description: tRNA-Asn
Rfam family: tRNA
About the family: Transfer RNA (tRNA) molecules are approximately 80 nucleotides in length.
Source: RNAcentral
UCCGCGGUAGCUCAAUGGUAGAGCGCUUGCCUGUUAAGCAAAGGGUUGCUGGUUCGAGCCCAGCCCGCGGAGCCA